AUGAACGGCGGAGGGGGCGUGGGCGCGGGCAAGAUCAGCCUGCGGCUGCAGUACUACGUGCUGCUGGCGGGGGUGGGGGCCGUGCUGCUCGUCGGCUGCCUCAAGUACAUGCCGGCGGCGGCGGUGGUGGCGGCCGGGUACGGGUCCUGGGGGAGCGGGCUGGCCGUCGCCAGCCGCGCCGCGGAGCCGGAGGCGUCCCCGGUGGUGAUCUUCAACUUCGGGGACUCCAACUCCGACACGGGCGGCAUGGCGGCGGCCAGCGGCCUCAACAUUGCGCUCCCGGAGGGCCGCACCUACUUCCGCCGCCCCACCGGAAGGCUCUCCGACGGCCGCCUCGUCAUCGACUUCAUCUGUGAGAGCCUGGGCACGCCUCAUCUGAGCCCGUAUCUCAAGGCGCUGGGCUCCGACUUCAGCAACGGCGCCAACUUCGCCAUCGGCGGGUCGACGGCGACGCCGGGGGGAUCCCCCUUCUCGCUCGACGUGCAGCUUCAUCAGUUCCUCUACUUCAGAACCAGGUCUUUCGAGCUGCUCAACAAAGGUGAGAAGACGCCUGUUGAUCGGGAGGGGUUCCGGAACGCCAUCUACGCCAUCGACAUCGGGCACAACGAUCUCUCCGCUUAUCUUCACCUCCCCUACGAUCAAGUGCUCGCCAAGAUCCCUGCCAUAGUCGGUCACAUCAAAUUCGGCAUGGAGACCCUGUACGCGCACGGGGCUCGGAAGUUCUGGAUCCACGGGACGGGGGCGCUGGGCUGCCUGCCGCAGAAGCUGUCCAUCCCCAGGGACGACGACAGCGACCUCGACGCCAACGGCUGCCUCAACAAGUACAACGACGUCGCCAAGGCCUUCAACGAGAAGCUCGCCGAGACCUGCAACCAGCUCCGGCAGCGCAUGGCCGACGCCGCCAUCGUCUUCACCGACCUGUACCCCAUCAAGUAUGACCUCGUGGCCAACCACACCAAGUACGGCGUCGAGAGGCCCCUCAUGGCGUGCUGCGGCAACGGCGGCCCACCCCACAACUACAACCACUUCAAGAUGUGCAUGUCGGGGGAGAUGCAGCUGUGCGACAUGGACGCAAAGUUCAUCAGCUGGGACGGCAUCCACCUCACCGAGUUCGCCAACGCCAUCGUCGCCUCCAAGCUGCUCACCGGCGACUACUCCAAGCCCAGGGUCAGGAUCGCCAGCCUCGUCAACUCCACCGCGCCUCACGAUGGCUAG
This 1215-nucleotide ribosomal RNA is filed under the name Triticum aestivum (bread wheat). Its description in RNAcentral is "partial small subunit ribosomal RNA". Lineage: Eukaryota; Viridiplantae; Streptophyta; Magnoliopsida; Poales; Poaceae. The record is from RNAcentral.